GAAAAUGAUCAAAGCCUUGACCUUGUUGGCUGCAGUGACCACGGCUUCUGCCCUUUCUUCUUACUAUUUAAGAACCACCUCAUGUCAGAGAGCUGAGGAUGUAGCUUUAUGUGAGGCUGAUAUCAGAGUCUGCGAGGACCUGUUCACAGGCGACCAGGACGAGCAGGAUAGGAUCGGCAUCAACAAGAAAUGCCUCGACGAAAAUGGCUUCAGCCAAUUACAUGAUGUGGACCCCGAAACCCUCUUCAGACCAGCUGGCCUGCAGGUUCUCACACUGAUUGGUUCCGAGGAGAAACACGAGGCUUUAAAGCAGUGCGUCCUUCGGGAAAGGGGAGUGCUGAAGCCUGAUGGAACAGUCAACCCACAGCCAUUCUUGGACAGGCUAACUCUCGCCCUUAACGACACCCGCCCUGACAUCCUAGCGCGUCUCCUUUCCACUGCAGAGUCCUGCUCGGUCGAAAACAUUUCCCAGAUUGAUGACUGGAAGACGUGCCUGUUCUCGGGAUGCGUUACAAGACUUGUGUCAACAACUGUCACUCCUGAACAUGACUGAGAUGUCAAUUGUCUUUGUUGUUGAUGAAGUAAGGAAGCACAGUUUUCCGGUUCACGUUUUCUAUACGGACCAUUGCAUGUUAUGGGAGGAUUUUUUUUUUUUUCUUUUCGUUUUCUAAAUCAACUCAUUUCAUUACAAUGUGUAAAUUUGUUAUAGAGAUUUGUUAUUAAUGGGGAUCAGAAAAUGGAACUGCCUAUCUCUCGCCCAGUCAUAAAAUGAUGUUGCUAAUAUCUAUGUUAUUAUAUGAAUCACUUUCUCCUUUCUGAAGUACUCUACGAACGUAUGAAAUA
Molecule: long non-coding RNA, 843 nt
Organism: Penaeus chinensis
Lineage: Eukaryota; Metazoa; Arthropoda; Malacostraca; Decapoda; Penaeidae
Exons: 6
Source: RefSeq, a predicted model, not a curated record